RNAcentral lists this long non-coding RNA (380 nucleotides) under Marmota monax (woodchuck). Lineage: Eukaryota; Metazoa; Chordata; Mammalia; Rodentia; Sciuridae. The record is from RNAcentral.
GAAUAAUGCACAGCUGUGUGAGCAUCCUUUCAAGAUUCUGUUUUCUAGUCUUCUGGAUAUGUGCCCAUAACUAGGAUUUCUGGAUUAUAUAGUGUCCUUUUUUUAAUUUUUGAGGAACUUCCUGUUUCUCAGAAGCUACACCAUCUUACAUGCACCAGAAGCGUACGAGGUUCCCAUUUCUCAACAUCCUUGGCCACACUGUUUUUUGUGUGUGUGUGGUUGUGUAAUUUCCUAUUAUUUUCCUAAUACUGUCCAUCUAAUGCAUGUGAGGUGAUAGUUCUCUGUGGUUCUGAUUUGCAUUUCUCUGAUCACUAGUGACACUGAAGAUUUUUGUGUGUGUGCUUCUGGGCCAUUUCUGUGUCUUUUUGGAGAAAUGUCUG